AGUCUUGCCAGGGUGCUCUCAUUUGCCCUCAGAGGAGGGAGCAGAGGGCAGACUUGCACAGCUGAGCAGCCUCCCUGAAGAGGGAGGCAUGUUUCUCUGAGGCCUUGUGGGCAAAGGAUGGAGGAGAGAAAGCUGAGCUCAAUUAGGAAGGAUGCUAUUCAAAGACGCUCCCCACCUCUGCAUGGAUGGAUGGGAUGGGUGUGUACAUGCGGUGAGUGGAGCUGUGGGCCCAGCAAGCCUCUGCCCGGAGGGGCUGGCUCUCCGGUGAGCACCGAAGGCAGGUGAGCUCCCGUCACAAAAGGCACAUGACCUCAGCUGGGGAAGGAACCACUUAGAAUUCCGACUUCACUUUCAUCUUUCUCUUUCCUGCUCCCAGCUCCCCAGAACUCCACCCUGCUCGGGUAGCUGCUGAAGGAGUUCUGAGGUUGUCUCUUCCCCCAGGCCCUCUGGGGUACGGGCUUAAUUAAAAACCAGUCUAGUUUACCCCCUCAGUAGGGAACAGGGUAGGCAGGAUGUUGGCACCCAAGCAAGCCAAAACCCAAGUCGGCGCAGGAGACAUCUGCGAACUUCCUGUCCUGACCACUGGGCUCAGCUACAAGGCAUGCAAGACAGGCAGGACCCUCAGGGGAGGUGACAGCUGGCUGCAGACCUGGCAGGGGCUCUGGCAGGAAGUGUCUCUAGCAGCUGCCCUUAGGUGGGCAGCAGCAUCUUGCUUGUCCGAGGGAACUUCCUGUGACUUCCUGUUUGAAACAGGAAGUUGUUUUGGAGUCAGGAACAGGAUCUGGCCGACAAAGGGCAAGAUGGCAGCAGUGAGUAAGAGCUUAGUGUUCUGGCCAAAUGGGGCCCAGGGGACACCUCAUUCACUGUGAGAAUUGGAGCAAAAGCCCAGGCACUCAGAUUGAGCUGGGAAAAGUCUGGAGCUGAGAAGAUAGGUCAAGGCCCUAUGUGGGGGCUUCCUCAGGAACACUUGAGUCAUGAACACAGGCAUUAAUCCUCUCCUCCUGCACAGCUGGGGCUCUUACUACUGGGUCAGGUCUGAUUUCAAAGGGCGAUGGUCCUGGGAGAAGCUAAACAAGGUGGUUGAAGAUCUCCAGCCUCUGCAGAUGGACCUGACAUCUUCCACUUCACUGUAUGGGUAAUAAGGCGAAAAUCUCAGCUUGAACCUAUUAAUCGUCUGAUUUUCCCCUUCACAGCACCUGGUAUUGGCAAAACACUUAAAUGGCAUUGACUUUAUUCAUUCACUUUUUAAAUUAGACAGUUGCAUUUCCUCAUUCCCAUGCAGAAGAGCCCUUAGAAAAAUGAAGACGAGAAAAGCCAGCUAACACCUCCAGGCUGGGCACCUCCCCACCUCCUGGCCCUUGGCAGGCAGGGAUCACUGUGCAGUCUCUGCUUUCUUUCCUGCAGAGCUCAUAGGAGUUUACAGUACUCAGUGGGGCUCUGCAGGUCUUCCUCUCCAGUUGCUCAGUGUCUGCCAACCCCGUGUGAUUAACGUAAGAAGCCAGGGAGGAUGGACAGAAAGUAGUGCUGCAGGGAAGAAGGGACCAUGUAAACCAAAAAUGUCUGUCUUCAUUAUCUUUGCCACCACAAUGCUGAUCAACUGUGUCAGGUUUUAUUUCCCGCAGAUGGUCCCAACUGUAUCUCCCAUCCUACAUGCUCUUUUGAAAUGUGAUCUUGCUGUUUCCCCAUCAAGAGGUGACAUCUACAUCUUUACCUUCUUGAAUAUGGGAGGACUCCUUGGACCAAUAAAAUAUAGAGGAAGUGAUGCUGUACCAGUGUUGGCAUAGCCCUUGGCUGGCUUGGCCACUUCUUCUUCCAGCCGCUGGGAACCCAGAGGGCAUGUUGUGAGAAGCCCACGCCAGGCAGAGAGGUCACGUAGAGUCAAUAGCUCCAGCUGAGCCCCCAGAUGACAGCCAGCAUCAAGUGCCAGCCAUCCACGUGAGCCAUCAGACACCCAGUCUAGUCAAACCUUUAGAUGACUGCAGCCCCAGCUGACCUCUGACUGUAACCAUGUGAAAGACCCCCCCAAGUGGGAAUCAUCUUGCUGAGACUAGUUAAGGCAUAGACCCAGGGAACUCAUUAUUGGCAUAUAAUAAAUUGUUUUCAGCUGCUAAGUUUUGGGGUGCUUUGCUCCUUAGUAAUAGAUUGCUGGAACAGAAAUAGACCACCCAAAAAUGUGUGCCUUAAAGCAACCACCGUUUAUUAUUUCUCAUAAGUCUAGGGGCUCAUGUGUCUUCAGGCAGUUGGCUGGGGGCUGGCUGCUCUGUUGCAGCCUCAGCUGAGACACGUCAGUUCAGUACUAUGUGACGUGUCAGAGGCUCAUUCUGGUCUUGGGCCUGUAGCAGGGGUUAAGUAGACGAUACAAGCCUUCUUAAGACCUAAGCUUAUUGACACUACUGCAGCAUAGCUUGCAGUUAAGGCUUGGAUGCAAUCCCUGGCCCAGGAACUUCCACAUGCUGUGGGUGUGGCCAUAAGAUUAAAAAAAAAAAAAAAAAAA
Molecule: long non-coding RNA, 2494 nt
Filed under: Sus scrofa (pig)
Lineage: Eukaryota; Metazoa; Chordata; Mammalia; Artiodactyla; Suidae
Description: lncRNA (ENSSSCG00050014996.1)
Source: RNAcentral